This 262-nucleotide ribosomal RNA is filed under the name uncultured bacterium. Its description in RNAcentral is "partial 16S ribosomal RNA". It matches the Rfam family "Bacterial small subunit ribosomal RNA", at positions 99 to 354 of the family's 1533-position model. The record is from RNAcentral.
CGCACGGGUGAGUAACACGUGAGUGACCUGCCUUUUAGACUGGAACAACUUACCGAAAGGUGAGCUAAUGCCGGAUGAGUUAUAUAAGUGCAUGUUUAUAUAGGAAAAGUUGGGGAGACCUGACGCUGAAAGAUGGACUCGCGUCCCAUUAGCUAGUUGGUAGGGUAAUGGCCUACCAAGGCGACGAUGGGUAGCCGGCCUGAGAGGGUGGCCGGCCACAUUGGGACUGAGACACGGCCCAAACUCCUACGGAAGGCAGCAG